UACGUAGGGUGCGAGCGUUGUCCGGAAUUAUUGGGCGUAAAGAGCUCGUAGGCGGUCUGUCGCGUCUGCUGUGAAAUCCCGGGGCUCAACCCCGGGCUUGCAGUGGAUACGGGCAGACUAGAGUUCGGUAGGGGAGACUGGAAUUCCUGGUGUAGCGGUGAAAUGCGCAGAUAUCAGGAGGAACACCGGUGGCGAAGGCGGGUCUCUGGGCCGAUACUGACGCUGAGGAGCGAAAGCGUGGGGAGCGAACAGG
Molecule: ribosomal RNA, 253 nt
Filed under: uncultured bacterium
Lineage: Bacteria
Description: partial 16S ribosomal RNA
Rfam family: Bacterial small subunit ribosomal RNA
Source: RNAcentral